UACGUAGGGGGCGAGCGUUGUCCGGAAUCAUUGGGCGUAAAGAGCGUGUAGGCGGCUUGGCAAGUCUGACGUGAAAGCCCGCGGCUCAACCGCGGAUUGUCGUUGGAAACUGCCUCGCUAGAGUCCGGAAGAGGAGAGCGGAAUUCCUGGUGUAGCGGUGGAAUGCGCAGAUAUCAGGAAGAACACCCGUGGCGAAGGCGGCUCUCUAGGACGGUACUGACGCUGAGACGCGAAAGCGUGGGGAGCGAACAGG
RNAcentral lists this ribosomal RNA (253 nucleotides) under uncultured bacterium. RNAcentral describes it as "partial 16S ribosomal RNA". It matches the Rfam family "Bacterial small subunit ribosomal RNA", at positions 524 to 776 of the family's 1533-position model. The record is from RNAcentral.